GUGUGUGUGUGUGUGUGUGUGUGUGUGUGUGUGUGUGUGUGUGUGUGUGUAUGUAUGUAUGUAUGUGCACGCGCGGUAAUGAACUCAGACUAGAAGUGGGUGGGUGAGUGAGUGGUCGGUCAUGAACACAGACUCGGACUAGAGGAGUGUGUGUUUGUGUGUACAGUUGUUUAUCAUGGUAUGUAAAUAAAGCAUCUCUUGUAAACUAAG
This is a long non-coding RNA of Alosa sapidissima (American shad), 210 nucleotides long. RefSeq lists it as uncharacterized. The transcript is spliced from 2 exons. Lineage: Eukaryota; Metazoa; Chordata; Actinopteri; Clupeiformes; Clupeidae. The record is from RefSeq and is a predicted model, not a curated record.